This 428-nucleotide ribosomal RNA is filed under the name uncultured bacterium. Its description in RNAcentral is "bacterial SSU rRNA". It matches the Rfam family "Bacterial small subunit ribosomal RNA", at positions 354 to 796 of the family's 1533-position model. The record is from RNAcentral.
GUGGGGAAUAUUGGGCAAUGGGGGAAACCCUGACCCAGCAACGCCGCGUGAAGGAAGAAGGCUUUCGGGUUGUAAACUUCUUUUACCAGGGACGAAGAAAGUGACGGUACCUGGAGAAAAAGCCACGGCUAACUACGUGCCAGCAGCCGCGGUAAUACGUAGGUGGCAAGCGUUGUCCGGAUUUACUGGGUGUAAAGGGCGUGUAGGCGGAGAUGCAAGUCAGAUGUGAAAUCCUCGGGCUUAACCCGGGAACUGCAUUUGAAACUGUAUCCCUUGAGUAUCGGAGAGGCAGGCGGAAUUCCUAGUGUAGCGGUGAAAUGCGUAGAUAUUAGGAGGAACACCAGUGGCGAAGGCGGCCUGCUGGACGACAACUGACGCUGAGGCGCGAAAGCGUGGGGAGCAAACAGGAUUAGAUACCCUUGUAGUCC